GCUUAACACAUGCAAGUCGAGGGGCAUCAGGAAGAAAGCUUGCUUUCUUUGCUGGCGACCGGCGCACGGGUGAGUAACACGUAUCCAACCUGCCCUUUACUCGGGGAUAGCCUUUCGAAAGAAAGAUUAAUACCCGAUGGCAUAAUGAUUCCGCAUGGUUUCAUUAUUAAAGGAUUCCGGUAAAGGAUGGGGAUGCGUUCCAUUAGGUUGUUGGUGAGGUAACGGCUCACCAAGCCUUCGAUGGAUAGGGGUUCUGAGAGGAAGGUCCCCCACAUUGGAACUGAGACACGGUCCAAACUCCUACGGGAGGCAGCAGUGAGGAAUAUUGGUCAAUGGGCGCUAGCCUGAACCAGCCAAGUAGCGUGAAGGAUGAAGGCUCUAUGGGUCGUAAACUUCUUUUAUAUAAGAAUAAAGUGCAGUAUGUAUACUGUUUUGUAUGUAUUAUAUGAAUAAGGAUCGGCUAACUCCGUGCCAGCAGCCGCGGUAAUACGGAGGAUCCGAGCGUUAUCCGGAUUUAUUGGGUUUAAAGGGAGCGUAGGUGGACUGGUAAGUCAGUUGUGAAAGUUUGCGGCUCAACCGUAAAAUUGCAGUUGAUACUGUCAGUCUUGAGUACAGUAGAGGUGGGCGGAAUUCGUGGUGUAGCGGUGAAAUGCUUAGAUAUCACGAAGAACUCCGAUUGCGAAGGCAGCUCACUGGACUGCAACUGACACUGAUGCUCGAAAGUGUGGGUAUCAAACAGGAUUAGAUACCCUGGUAGUCCACACAGUAAACGAUGAAUACUCGCUGUUUGCGAUAUACAGUAAGCGGCCAAGCGAAAGCAUUAAGUAUUCCACCUGGGGAGUACGCCGGCAACGGUGAAACUCAAAGGAAUUGACGGGGGCCCGCACAAGCGGAGGAACAUGUGGUUUAAUUCGAUGAUACGCGAGGAACCUUACCCGGGCUUAAAUUGCAGUGGAAUGAUGUGGAAACAUGUCAGUGAGCAAUCACCGCUGUGAAGGUGCUGCAUGGUUGUCGUCAGCUCGUGCCGUGAGGUGUCGGCUUAAGUGCCAUAACGAGCGCAACCCUUAUCUUUAGUUACUAACAGGUUAUGCUGAGGACUCUAGAGAGACUGCCGUCGUAAGAUGUGAGGAAGGUGGGGAUGACGUCAAAUCAGCACGGCCCUUACGUCCGGGGCUACACACGUGUUACAAUGGGGGGUACAGAAGGCAGCUAGCGGGUGACCGUAUGCUAAUCCCAAAAGCCUCUCUCAGUUCGGAUUGGAGUCUGCAACCCGACUCCAUGAAGCUGGAUUCGCUAGUAAUCGCGCAUCAGCCACGGCGCGGUGAAUACGUUCCCGGGCCUUGUACACACCGCCCGUCAAGCCAUGAAAGCCGGGGGUACCUGAAGUGCGUAACCGCAAGGAGCGCCCUAGGGUAAAACUGGUGAUUGGGGCUAA
This 1435-nucleotide ribosomal RNA is filed under the name uncultured organism. RNAcentral's name for it is "16S ribosomal RNA". It matches the Rfam family "Bacterial small subunit ribosomal RNA". The record is from RNAcentral.